This is a long non-coding RNA of Onychostruthus taczanowskii (white-rumped snowfinch), 704 nucleotides long. RefSeq lists it as uncharacterized. The record is from RefSeq and is a predicted model, not a curated record. NCBI's taxonomy places the organism in Eukaryota, Metazoa, Chordata, Aves, Passeriformes, Passeridae. The transcript has 2 exons.
CCUGGUGCUUCCCCUCUCUGGGCAGCAGCUGCUCUACCAUGUGCUCAGCACAACUCCAGGCAGCAGCACAGACCGGCACUUGUGCGGCUGCAAGGACAGGGACGAGCUGCUCGCCCCACCGAGGGAUGUGCCCAGGGAAGUCCGGAGGAGCGGGUUUCCAUUUCUUUCAUAUGUAUUCCAAAUUCUUGAAAUUCCCAUCCUGUCAAGUUCGAUUAAAAUAGACCAGGUGAAGAAUUUUUAAUGACUGUCUCUGCCUAACGAAGAAACCAAUAGACUGGUACAAUACAAUCUGUUUUGUGAAAACAACAUUGUAUUUUAUUUCACCAACUUCUUUAUUAUUGCCCGAAAGUUUCAAGGUUUCUUGGAAGCCUCAAUGUUUUUAUAGACAGACAAGGUAUAGAGGCAAGAGGCACUCAUUAGCUUCUAGAGCUUAUUCACCAGGCUCUCAUCACGAGCUAACACUGAAACCGGACAGAUGUCUUCACUUUCGCUUUCCUUGCUUUCUCAGGAUUUCAUUUAUGUCAGUGCAGGCCAGGACCGCUUCAAAGUUACAGUGGAAAGCUACUCUAGUAAACUUUUUUGUCAAUUUGUUAGCUUCAGUGCCAAAGAGGUUUGCUUUUUUAUGGGUGCCAUUGCUCUUUGGAAUCUACUUUCUCAUAUUCUGUAUUUUUACUGUAACCUUUAAUAAAGUUAUUUGAAAGAAA